Triticum aestivum (bread wheat) is the source of this 135-nucleotide non-coding RNA. Lineage: Eukaryota; Viridiplantae; Streptophyta; Magnoliopsida; Poales; Poaceae. The record is from Rfam.
UUUGUACUCCCUCCGUUCCAAAAUUCUUGUCUUAAAUUUGUCUAAAUACGGAUGUAUCUAGUUACAUUUUAGUGUUAGAUACAUCUGUAUAUAAACAAAUGUAAGACAAGAAUUUUGGGGUGGAGGGAAUACUAC